AUGGCUGCCGGUUCGGAGCUUGCGGUCUUGGUGGCAUGCGCGCUGCUGUUAGCUGCGGCGUGCGGAGGCGCCCCCGACGACGUCCCCGGGCUCGAGGUCGGGUACUACGAGGAGACGUGCCCCGAGGCGGAGUCCAUCGUGAGGGCCUCCGUGAGCGAGGCCGUCGCCGAGGACGCCGGCGUCGGCGCCGGCCUCAUCCGCCUCCUCUUCCACGACUGCUUCGUCCAGGGCUGCGACGCGUCGGUGCUGCUGGACCCGACGGCGUCGAACCAGCGGCCGGAGAAGCUCGGCCCGCCCAACAUCAACAGCCUGCGUGGCUUCGAGGCGAUCGACGCGGCUAAGGCCGCCGUGGAGGAGGCGUGCCCGGGAACCGUCUCCUGCGCUGACAUCGUCGCCUUCGCAGCGCGCGACGCGUCCUACCUCCUGAGCGGCUACCGCGUCGACUUCGCGAUGCCGGCGGGCCGGCUCGACGGCCGCCGCUCGAACGCCUCCGACACGGUCCCGUCCCUGCCCCCGGCGUCCGCCAGCUUCACCGACCUCGUCGACAACUUUGCCAGGCAGGGCCUCGACGCGGAGGACAUGGUGGUGCUCUCCGGCGCGCACUCCGUCGGCCACGCCCGCUGCUCGACCUUCGCCGCGGGCCGCACGGCAGUCGACGCCGACGCCGACAUCGACCCGUCGUUUGCGCGGUCGCUGCGGAGGAGGUGCGUCCGGGCGGAGAACAGCACCGGCGACCCGACGGUGAGCCAGGACGCGGUGACCCCGACGGAGCUGGACAGCCAGUACUACCGCAACGUGCUGAAGCGCAGGGUGCUGCUCGCCUCCGACGCGGCGCUGCUGGAGACCCCGGAGGCGGCGCGGAUGGUGCGGGACAGCGCGCGCGCCGGCGGGCGGUGGGAGCAGAAGUUCGCCAAGGCCAUGGUGAAGAUGGCCGGCAUCGGCGUGAAGAAGGCCGGCCGCCACGCCGAGAUCAGGGCGAACUGCAGGGUCGUCAACUACUGA
This 1002-nucleotide ribosomal RNA is filed under the name Triticum aestivum (bread wheat). RNAcentral describes it as "partial small subunit ribosomal RNA". The record is from RNAcentral. Lineage: Eukaryota; Viridiplantae; Streptophyta; Magnoliopsida; Poales; Poaceae.